GACGAACGCUGGCGGCGUGCUUAACACAUGCAAGUCGAACGAAGAGCGAUGGAAGCUUGCUUCUAUCAAUCUUAGUGGCGAACGGGUGAGUAACGCGUAAUCAACCUGCCCUUCAGAGGGGGACAACAGUUGGAAACGACUGCUAAUACCGCAUACGAUCUAAUCUCGGCAUCGAGGAUAGAUGAAAGGUGGCCUCUACAUGUAAGCUAUCACUGAAGGAGGGGAUUGCGUCUGAUUAGCUAGUUGGAGGGGUAACGGCCCACCAAGGCGAUGAUCAGUAGCCGGUCUGAGAGGAUGAACGGCCACAUUGGGACUGAGACACGGCCCAGACUCCUACGGGAGGCAGCAGUGGGGAAUCUUCCGCAAUGGACGAAAGUCUGACGGAGCAACGCCGCGUGAGUGAUGACGGCCUUCGGGUUGUAAAGCUCUGUUAAUCGGGACGAAAGGCCUUCUUGCGAUACCG
Molecule: ribosomal RNA, 463 nt
Filed under: Veillonella parvula
Lineage: Bacteria; Bacillati; Bacillota; Negativicutes; Veillonellales; Veillonellaceae
Description: bacterial SSU rRNA
Rfam family: Bacterial small subunit ribosomal RNA
Source: RNAcentral